This 484-nucleotide ribosomal RNA is filed under the name uncultured bacterium. Its description in RNAcentral is "partial 16S ribosomal RNA". It matches the Rfam family "Bacterial small subunit ribosomal RNA", at positions 30 to 507 of the family's 1533-position model. The record is from RNAcentral.
AUUGAACGCUGGCGGCAGGCCUAACACAUGCAAGUCGAGCGGAUGAAGGGAGCUUGCUCCUGGAUUCAGCGGCGGACGGGUGAGUAAUGCCUAGGAAUCUGCCUGGUAGUGGGGGAUAACGUCCGGAAACGGGCGCUAAUACCGCAUACGUCCUGAGGGAGAAAGCGGGGGAUCUUCGGACCUCACGCUAUCAGAUGAGCCUAGGUCGGAUUAGCUAGUUGGUGGGGUAAAGGCCUACCAAGGCGACGAUCCGUAACUGGUCUGAGAGGAUGAUCAGUCACACUGGAACUGAGACACGGUCCAGACUCCUACGGGAGGCAGCAGUGGGGAAUAUUGGACAAUGGGCGAAAGCCUGAUCCAGCCAUGCCGCGUGUGUGAAGAAGGUCUGCGGAUUGUAAAGCACUUUAAGUUGGGAGGAAGGGCAGUAAGUUAAUACCUUGCUGUUUUGACGUUACCAACAGAAUAAGCACCGGCUAACUUCGUG